Molecule: ribosomal RNA, 440 nt
Filed under: uncultured bacterium
Lineage: Bacteria
Description: partial 16S ribosomal RNA
Rfam family: Bacterial small subunit ribosomal RNA
Source: RNAcentral
CCUACGGGAGGCAGCAGUGGGGAAUAUUGCACAAUGUGGGAAACCCUGAUGCAGCGACGCCGCGUGAGUGAUGAAGUAUUUCGGUAUGUAAAGCUCUAUCAGCAGGGAAGAAAAUGACGGUACCUGACUAAGAAGCCCCAGCUAACUACGUGCCAGCAGCCGCGGUAAUACGUAGGGGGCAAGCGUUAUCCGGAUUUACUGGGUGUAAAGGGAGCGUAGACGGCAGUGCAAGUCUGGAGUGAAAGGCCGGGGCUCAACCCCCGGACUGCCUUGGAAACUGUGCGGCUAGAGUGCAGGAGAGGUAAGCGGAAUUCCUAGUGUAGCGGUGAAAUGCGUAGAUAUUAGGAGGAACACCAGUGGCGAAGGCGGCUUACUGGACGGUAACUGACGUUGAGGCUCGAAAGCGUGGGGAGCAAACAGGAUUAGAUACCCUAGUAGUC